This 88-nucleotide transfer RNA is filed under the name Pohlia nutans. Its description in RNAcentral is "tRNA-Ser (TGA) (tRNA-Ser-TGA-7 1 to 64)". It matches the Rfam family "tRNA". Rfam says of the family: Transfer RNA (tRNA) molecules are approximately 80 nucleotides in length. Lineage: Eukaryota; Viridiplantae; Streptophyta; Bryopsida; Bryales; Mniaceae. The record is from RNAcentral.
GGAGAGAUGGCCGAGUGGUUUAUGGCUCCGGUCUUGAAAACCGGCAUAGUUUUUGAAACUAUCGAGGGUUCGAAUCCCUCUCUCUCCU